CUGAACCAGCCAAGUAGCGUGAAGGAUGAAGGCUCUAUGGGUCGUAAACUUCUUUUAUAUAAGAAUAAAGUGCAGUAUGUAUACUGUUUUGUAUGUAUUAUAUGAAUAAGGAUCGGCUAACUCCGUGCCAGCAGCCGCGGUAACACGGAGGAUCCGAGCGUUAUCCGGAUUUAUUGGGUUUAAAGGGAGCGUAGGCGGACGCUUAAGUCAGUUGUGAAAGUUUGCGG
This 227-nucleotide ribosomal RNA is filed under the name uncultured bacterium. RNAcentral's name for it is "partial 16S ribosomal RNA". It matches the Rfam family "Bacterial small subunit ribosomal RNA", at positions 383 to 607 of the family's 1533-position model. The record is from RNAcentral.